Molecule: ribosomal RNA, 439 nt
Filed under: uncultured bacterium
Lineage: Bacteria
Description: partial 16S ribosomal RNA
Rfam family: Bacterial small subunit ribosomal RNA
Source: RNAcentral
CUACGGGGCGCUGCAGUAAGGAAUAUUGGACAAUGGGGGAAACCCUGAUCCAGCCAUGCCGCGUGAAUGAAGAAGGCCUUAGGGUUGUAAAGUUCUUUUAGAUGCGAAGAUAAUGACGGUAGCAUCAGAAAAAGCUCCGGCUAACUCCGUGCCAGCAGCCGCGGUAAUACGGAGGGAGCGAGCGUUGUUCGGAAUUACUGGGCGUAAAGCGUGCGCAGGCGGCUAGAUAAGUCAGAAGUGAAAUCCCAGGGCUCAACCUUGGAAUUGCUUUUGAAACUAUUUAGCUUGAGUAUCGGAGAGGUUGGCGGAAUUCCCAGUGUAGAGGUGAAAUUCGUAGAUAUUGGGGGGAACACCAGUGGCGUAAGCGGCCAACUAGACGAUAACUGACGCUCAGGCACGAAAGUGUGGGGAUCAAACAGGAUUAGAUACCCCCGUAGUC